GGCUGGUCUGAUUAUUAUGGAUUAUCAGAACUUAUUAACAUUACUGCCACUAAAGUUGGUAUACAACCCCCACGGCUAAAUUUUAGUGGCUUAAA
This is an unclassified non-coding RNA of Homo sapiens (human), 95 nucleotides long. It matches the Rfam family "Y RNA". Rfam says of the family: Y RNAs are components of the Ro ribonucleoprotein particle (Ro RNP), in association with Ro60 and La proteins. The Y RNAs and Ro60 and La proteins are well conserved, but the function of the Ro RNP is not known. Lineage: Eukaryota; Metazoa; Chordata; Mammalia; Primates; Hominidae. The record is from Ensembl.